GAUCAUGGCUCAGGAUGAACGCUAGCGACAGGCCUAACACAUGCAAGUCGAGGGGCAGCGGAGAGGUAGCAAUACCUUUGCCGGCGACCGGCGCACGGGUGAGUAACACGUAUGCAAUCCACCUGUAACAGGGGGAUAACCCGGAGAAAUCCGGACUAAUACCCCAUAAGGAUGUCUGUCCGCAUGGGCGGUCAUCUAAAGGUUUUCCGGUUACAGAUGGGCAUGCGUUCCAUUAGCUGGUUGG
This 244-nucleotide ribosomal RNA is filed under the name uncultured bacterium. Its description in RNAcentral is "partial 16S ribosomal RNA". It matches the Rfam family "Bacterial small subunit ribosomal RNA", at positions 15 to 252 of the family's 1533-position model. The record is from RNAcentral.